UAAAGAAAUAAGUAGGAAAACUCUUUGAGAGCAUGAAAUAAGAGAAACUGGACAAGAUUGAGAACUUGAGAGAAUUCUAGCUAGUGAACUCAGCCCAUAGUGGUGAACUCUAGGGAACUAAUCUUGCAUGCACACUGCUAGUAGAUAUAGCUAACCUUGAAUUGCGAGUACAAAAAAAAUACCCAUGCAUGCGUACGUGCGAGCAAGAAAAUAAAAAGACAGACUAAUUAUUUAUUCACUCGAUCACCGUAUAUGUACGUACAAUUGUAUAAGGUAAGGUACGUAGUGACUUCUUCUCUUUUCCUUUGCAUCUUUACUUACUCACAUGCGGUACGUAUACACAUAUGCGAUAUACUAAUACUAUAUAUAGAUACAAUUGUUCUUGUUUGGACUCCCAACCGUCGUGUCUAUGAACAGAAACCUUGGAUCUUCUUGGCAGCCGGCGCGGCAUCGUCGACGGCGAGCCUCUUGCCACCGUCGC
Molecule: long non-coding RNA, 481 nt
Filed under: Triticum aestivum (bread wheat)
Lineage: Eukaryota; Viridiplantae; Streptophyta; Magnoliopsida; Poales; Poaceae
Description: long non-coding RNA (TAES_LNC008364)
Source: RNAcentral